RNAcentral lists this non-coding RNA (26 nucleotides) under Mus musculus (house mouse). The record is from RNAcentral. Lineage: Eukaryota; Metazoa; Chordata; Mammalia; Rodentia; Muridae.
UGCAAUGAUGCAAUGAAGGUGAUGUU